GGGAUGAUGUUACACUCAGGAAUUGAAUGGUACGGUAAGAUUUUGCUUUGCCAAUAUAUGGGGCCAUUAGAUUGGCAAAAAGUGCGGAGUUUUUUCUAUUUUUUAAGAAUAAGGUAGUCCUUUCAUGUCCAAGAAAUACAUCUGAUUGUAUUUGCAAAAACAUUCCCAUUAUGUUGAAGGAUUGACUUUUAGGUUAAUAUCCUGACAGACCUGAGCUGUUGGGUGAACAGCCUAUGCUUGAAGGGUGGUUGAGGCCUUAAGAGGGGCAGCUAAUUAUAACACCUGAUGCAUCGCCCCCUUCAAGCCUAGCUGACUAAAGAAAAUGAGGUUGCCUAACGUCAAGGCUAGUGCCCACAUGCAACCCAGCGAACAACCUAACUAAGGAUGGGUUGCAAAUAGCUUACUGUGGAAGGCAAACCGGAAAGGGAAGGUAGGUUUUUGAAACCCCUCGACCAACUGGCAUUUUGCUUUGAAGCUGGAACGGGCUGGUCUUAUUCAUCCAGGUUGCAGGAUUGGUAGUCAGGCUCGUGCCCUGUCAAAUUUCAGCUAUUGGGCUAACACUCCAUGGAGAUUGAGGAGUGAUUGAGUGUUAAAAGCAUACCUUUGAGGGAGGGGGCUCGAUUGAUAUUGCAAAGCCUGAUGGCCAGGAUCUCGAUCUGGACUUUCACUUUUGCCAUAGAGUGUUAGCCUAGUAGCUAAGGCGUGACAGGUACAAGCCUGACUACCAAUUCUGCAAUGCAAGCUUUAAAACUCGGUGAAUAAGGGAAGCUUCUUGCUGCCUUAGAAAAAAUUCAAGUUGACCAAGUCUUUCAAAAACCAACCAUUCCCAGCCCUGAGUUUUCCACACAGAAUCAUUUGGAACCCAUCCUUAGAUAAAAUAUUGGCUUUGAUACAUGCAAGGACUAAUCUUGACAUUAAGCUUCAUGCAACUUCUUCAGACAUGCCCAUCUUCGUAUGAAAAUCUGGCCACAUGGUUUUUGCAGUGUCAGUUGAGCCCUCUCCCCCAAAAACAUUCUUUUCAAUACUCAUCCAUCCUCCAGCCAUGGAGUUUCAGCCAUGUGGCUGGUGUGUGAUAGGGUACAAGCGUGACUACCAAUCCUGCGGCGCAGGCGUUGAACCUGGAUGAAUGAGACAAGCCCCUUCUAGCCUUAAAAAAUAUAUGCUAGUUGACCAAGGGGGUUUUCAAAACCUACCUCCCUACUCCUUAGCUUUCCACGCACAGUCAUUUGCACCCCUCCCUUGGAUAGGUUGGUGGCUGGACUGCUUGCUUGGAUAGGUUGGUGCAGGCUGGCUUGAAGUUGGGCAAUUCCCGCCUUCAAGCGAAAACCUAGUCAUCAGCUUUGUACAGUCCCUCCUAAGCCUACUGCGUGGACUUUCAACCCCACUUCAACCACAAAGUGCUCACCAACUUCCUGGGCUCUUGCAGGGCAUGGGCCUGAGUGUCAAUCUUGUACAAAGGGAGCCUGUGCAUCUAAUCCAAAAUAUAUAUGAAUGAAUUCACUAAAACAUACCCCGAAAAUAAACAACAACCUCAUAGUCAAUUUCCAAGCGCACACUUUUCAAAAUUGAAACUUUUCCCAACCCUAAUACACCCCGACACCGCGGAAAUACGUUUUCGUGACAUCACAGUAACUGGUCAGUGGUCAUCAACCUAAAGCUGCGGAGCGUUUAUAUUUGUUCGCGAGAUCAAUGAAGGUAUCGGCUCUUGCGUGGGUUUAAGGUGAGAAAUAUCCCGGAUACUUCAAGCUUUUUGUGAGAUUUGAUCCUCUAAAUGUGCUUUUGAAACUGAAACCAAGUUUGAAUGAGUACUGGUUCAGUGGAGUCAUUUUGUGUGGAAUAAAGUGUAGUUUUUAGGGAACUCGGGCUGAUGAAGUGUCCAUCGUGUUACCUUCCUCGACUUCAGUAGUGUCUAAAGCAGCGAAAGGGUCUCCAGGCAAAGCAGAAGGCUGGUUUUGUAUCAUACUAAGGAAGAAAGUUUGAACACCGGUUGGAUUUAAAGUGUAAUUUGUUCGUAACGAUAGAGCUGUACUUGUCGACACGAAGCGUUUGCAAUCGUGGAGUGUGGCUAAGUUUUACUUCUUUCGACACUGGAACAACAGUAAACUUUUCAGAUAGACAGCUUCUGAAUAUCAGAGAUCAGGUUGGGGAGACACAUGAUGCAUCCAAGACUGUUGCCACCCUCAUCAGACAUGCACAGAGUAUGAAAGGUGUGGCUACAGGACAGUCGCUGGAUAGAUGCGUGAGGUGGAUUAUGACAUGCUUCUGCAUCACAAUCUACUCAAGGAUGUGGUCUGGAGGAAGGCCAUCUGUAUCCCAAAGGUCUGCUCUUUUUUCCCCAUGAUAUCCAGAGAGAAUACUGUCAAGGAUGAUCUUAUACAGUUUUGGUGAAUUUGAUUCUAUGAAUUCUUAAAAAACUGGCUGGCUUACAAGUCUCUGCUGAUCUGAGCAUUUUUCCAUUUUUUUGCGUAGAGUUUGUAGGAGUUCUUUGAAUGUUGAUUCUGUUAGAGAUAAAUACAAUUUAGGUUCAAUCAAAAUUGUAGUAUUAUUGCCAUUACAGUGUAUCUUCUACGUAAAAAAGAACUUCAUAAAGGAUGAGAUUGUUGGUUUACUAUUUAACUUCUCCUGAAUGCAUUUCCAAGUUGAUGCCUCAAGCAUAGGGUCCCCAUCCUGGCCAGCUAACAUGUCACCAAACUGUCCUUCAACAAUCUUCCAGUAAUCAGGAUUUUGCAGCUGUGACACAGAAAGGGAUGAGCUGUUUGUGGCUUUUUUAUCGUAGUAAACAUUCUUUUUCUUCAAAACCACAUGUAGUAUUUUCAUUAUGGUGUAACAUGCUGUAAUUCUAAGAUCUACAUUGUACCAUUGAUUAUUAUACCAAAUAAUGAUUACAGUUAAGACUGUACCUCUGAGGUAAAUUGUUCACCAGUUUCAAAAUCCAUCUCUUCUGUUUCUUGACAUACCUGUUACAAUAGUGUUACAAUGAAGGUGAGAAUAGAGGUACAUGCAAAGAAAAUGGCCCAUUGAAACAGAAAAAUUGUGUAUGUGUAACUGUGGCAGUUCACAUAAUACAUUGAGUACAAUCAUA
This 3082-nucleotide long non-coding RNA is filed under the name Stylophora pistillata. RNAcentral describes it as "uncharacterized LOC111344309". Lineage: Eukaryota; Metazoa; Cnidaria; Anthozoa; Scleractinia; Pocilloporidae. The record is from RNAcentral.